GAGGGUAUAGCUUAGUGGUAGAGUGUGUACUUCGCAUGCACAAGGUCCGGGGUUCAAUUCCUAGUACCUCA
RNAcentral lists this transfer RNA (71 nucleotides) under Camelus bactrianus (Bactrian camel). It matches the Rfam family "tRNA". Rfam says of the family: Transfer RNA (tRNA) molecules are approximately 80 nucleotides in length. Their secondary structure includes four short double-helical elements and three loops (D, anti-codon, and T loops). Further hydrogen bonds mediate the characteristic L-shaped molecular structure. tRNAs have two regions of fundamental functional importance: the anti-codon, which is responsible for specific mRNA codon recognition, and the 3' end, to which the tRNAs corresponding amino acid is attached (by aminoacyl-tRNA synthetases). tRNAs cope with the degeneracy of the genetic code in two manners: having more than one tRNA (with a specific anti-codon) for a particular amino acid; and 'wobble' base-pairing, i.e. permitting non-standard base-pairing at the 3rd anti-codon position. The record is from Rfam by way of RNAcentral. RNAcentral also lists the same sequence under 2 other names. Lineage: Eukaryota; Metazoa; Chordata; Mammalia; Artiodactyla; Camelidae.